Molecule: long non-coding RNA, 325 nt
Filed under: Homo sapiens (human)
Lineage: Eukaryota; Metazoa; Chordata; Mammalia; Primates; Hominidae
Description: non-protein coding lnc-C17orf51-10:1
Source: RNAcentral
UUCAGUUGUUCCGGGACUGACGCAUCUCCUCACGCCGUCGAGGCCUUCACACACCCAAAGCGGAUCCGCGGCGGUGAAAACGAUCGACAGCCGGCCACAUGAGCCAGGCAGCGAUGCAGAAAGAGGCUCACCAAAAUCAGGCCGACAUGCGAGAAAUCGCUUUUUGGCGCACAGGGCACAUUCGUCCAAAGACACAAGCACAGGUGCACACACACACACAAACUGACAGAGAGAGGGAAAGAAACACACAGAGAGUGAGAGACAGAGAGAGAAGAGCGAAUGGGAGACACACACACACACACACACACACACACACACAGAGUCA